UACGUAGGUGGCAAGCGUUGUCCGGAUUUACUGGGCGUAAAGAGCUCGUAGGCGGCCUGUUGCGUCCGCUGUGAAAGCCCGGGGCUUAACCCCGGGUCGGCAGUGGAUACGGGCAGGCUAGAGGUAGGUAGGGGAGAAUGGAAUUCCCGGUGUAGCGGUGAAAUGCGCAGAUAUCGGGAGGAACACCAGUGGCGAAGGCGGAACUCUGGGCCGGAACUGACGCUGAGGAGCGAAAGCGUGGGGAGCGAACAGG
This 253-nucleotide ribosomal RNA is filed under the name uncultured bacterium. RNAcentral describes it as "partial 16S ribosomal RNA". It matches the Rfam family "Bacterial small subunit ribosomal RNA", at positions 524 to 776 of the family's 1533-position model. The record is from RNAcentral.